UAGAUAGAGGCGCGGUGCUCAUCAGUACCCCGUGGCAAGGCCGGGUGGCCGUCACUGGGGAAAGGGUGUACCGCCGAAGCUGCAAUGGAGCACCCGGUCCUUGUCUGCUGGGCCGUCAGAGAACAUCUGCCGGACUGUCACAAAACUUUGUGGAGCGCUAUCA
This 163-nucleotide non-coding RNA is filed under the name uncultured Faecousia sp. Its description in RNAcentral is "Lysine riboswitch". It matches the Rfam family "Lysine riboswitch aptamer". From Rfam's summary of the family: Riboswitches are metabolite binding domains within certain messenger RNAs that serve as precision sensors for their corresponding targets. Allosteric rearrangement of mRNA structure is mediated by ligand binding, and this results in modulation of gene expression. Lineage: Bacteria; Bacillati; Bacillota; Clostridia; Eubacteriales; Oscillospiraceae. The record is from RNAcentral.